AUGCACGCUGGCGGCGUGCCUAAUCCAUGCAAGUCGCGCGAACGGACGAGAAGCUUGCUUCUCUGAUGUUAGCGGCGGACGGGUGAGUAACACGUGGAUAACCUACCUAUAAGACUGGGAUAACUUCGGGAAACCGGAGCUAAUACCGGAUAAUAUUUUGAACCGCAUGGUUCAAAAGUGAAAGACGGUCUUGCUGUCACUUAUAGAUGGAUCCGCGCUGCAUUAGCUAGUUGGUAAGGUAACGGCUUACCAAGGCAACGAUGCAUAGCCGACCUGAGAGGGUGAUCGGCCACACUGGAACUGAGACACGGUCCAGACUCCUACGGGAGGCAGCAGUAGGGAAUCUUCCGCAAUGGGCGAAAGCCUGACGGAGCAACGCCGCGUGAGUGAUGAAGGUCUUCGGAUCGUAAAACUCUGUUAUUAGGGAAGAACAUAUGUGUAAGUAACUGUGCACAUCUUGACGGUACCUAAUCAGAAAGCCACGGCUAACUACGUG
Molecule: ribosomal RNA, 496 nt
Filed under: uncultured bacterium
Lineage: Bacteria
Description: partial 16S ribosomal RNA
Rfam family: Bacterial small subunit ribosomal RNA
Source: RNAcentral